AGCGCCCAGGAAAGUUUCCCGGAGCCCCGUGGCGGCCGCGGCGCCAGAUCCCCCCAGAAGCUGCCUGAGUCCCGCCGCCGCGCCGAGGCUGCGCGCCCCCUGCCGCGGGAAGACCGGCGGGGUUCGGCCAUGGUGGAGACUGGGGGCUUAGAACCUGGGUCCUUCAGCAUUAUAAUAUGUGCCCUGAACUAGAUGUACUACCACCCGUCCCCCAGUAGUUUGAAUCCUUAAGUAAAGGCCUCCCUAUGAAGUUGAUAUUGCUAUUCAUCUGGAACUGGAUUGUAGAAUACAAGGGCACUUCCUUAACCUUAUAAAAAUGUUCUAGAAUUUUUAAUAGGCAAAAGUGGUUGGAACCUCAGUCUUCCAUCACCUCCAAUGGAGGAUUCUCCACAGCAUCGUGCUCCACAGCCCAGCUGGGAGUUGGCUUGGGGCUGUAUUGGUAUGGAAGAGGGCCACCGACUGAAUCAUCGACACCACAUCCUACAGCAUCUCCCAUCCAAGUCUCCCCAGACCCACCCCUGCUGGACACCCAGGUCUGGAGAGAUGACAGCUUCAGAGCAUGUCCUAACAAAUUUUGAGUUUCCAGCCUUUGGUUUUCAUAUUGCAUUUCAAGAUCAACAUCCUUAUUAGCAGCAGUAUAUUUUUCACUUUAAAUUUUUAUAGCAUCUUUUCCAUGGAGAAAUUCAAAGCAGGCUACUGAACUUCAUUACCACACAGGCAGAAAUCCUCAGGACACCUCUAGGAAGGAGAUGUUAAUUAAGUGAGAGAGAAUCUCACCUCUUCUUACAAAGGCCAAUCAUUAAUAACUAAUGAAUGAAAA
This is a long non-coding RNA of Erinaceus europaeus (western European hedgehog), 820 nucleotides long. RefSeq lists it as uncharacterized. The transcript has 3 exons. NCBI's taxonomy places the organism in Eukaryota, Metazoa, Chordata, Mammalia, Eulipotyphla, Erinaceidae. The record is from RefSeq and is a predicted model, not a curated record.